Molecule: ribosomal RNA, 468 nt
Filed under: uncultured bacterium
Lineage: Bacteria
Description: partial 16S ribosomal RNA
Rfam family: Bacterial small subunit ribosomal RNA
Source: RNAcentral
GACGAACGCUGGCGGCGUGCUUAACACAUGCCAGUCGAACGGAAAGGCCCUGCUUUUGUGGGGUGCUCGAGUGGCGAACGGGUGAGUAACACGUGAGUAACCUGCCCUUGACUUUGGGUUAACUUCAGGAAACUGGGGCUAAUACCGGAUAGGAGCUCCUGCUGCAUGGUGGGGGUUGGAAAGUUUCGGCGGUUGGGGAUGGACUCGCGGCUUAUCAGCUUGUUGGUGGGGUAGUGGCUUACCAAGGCUUUGACGGGUAGCCGGCCUGAGAGGGUGACCGGCCACAUUGGGACUGAGAGACGGCCCAGACUCCUACGGGGGGCAGCAGUGGGGAAUAUUGCACAAUGGGCGGAAGCCUGAUGCAGCAACGCCGCGUGCGGGAUGACGGCCUUCGGGUUGUAAACCGCUUUCGCCUGUGACGAAGCGUGAGUGACGGUAAUGGGUAAAGAAGCACCGGCUAACUACGUG